RNAcentral lists this ribosomal RNA (494 nucleotides) under uncultured bacterium. RNAcentral's name for it is "bacterial SSU rRNA". It matches the Rfam family "Bacterial small subunit ribosomal RNA", at positions 29 to 518 of the family's 1533-position model. The record is from RNAcentral.
AUGAACGCUAGCGACAGGCCUAACACAUGCAAGUCGAGGGGCAGCACAAGGAGCAAUCUGAGGUGGCGACCGGCGCACGGGUGAGCAACACGUAUGCAACCUGCCUGUAAGCGGGGAAUAACCCGUUGAAAGACGGACUAAUACCGCAUAAUACUAAAUUACUGCAUGGUAAUUUAUUUAAACAUUUAUGGCUUACAGAUGGGCAUGCGCAUGAUUAGCUAGUUGGAGAGGUAACGGCUCCCCAAGACAACGAUCAUUAGGGGUUCUGAGAGGAAGGUCCCCCACACUGGUACUGAGACACGGACCAGACUCCUACGGGAGGCAGCAGUGAGGAAUAUUGGUCAAUGGACGAGAGUCUGAACCAGCCAAGUCGCGUGCAGGAAGAAUGUCCUAUGGAUUGUAAACUGCUUUUGCAGGGGAAUAAAGUGCAUCACGUGUGAUGUUUUGUAUGUACUCUGCGAAUAAGGAUCGGCUAACUCCGUGCCAGCAGCUGC